Molecule: transfer RNA, 85 nt
Filed under: Coniophora puteana RWD-64-598 SS2
Lineage: Eukaryota; Fungi; Basidiomycota; Agaricomycetes; Boletales; Coniophoraceae
Description: tRNA-Pro
Rfam family: tRNA
About the family: Transfer RNA (tRNA) molecules are approximately 80 nucleotides in length. Their secondary structure includes four short double-helical elements and three loops (D, anti-codon, and T loops).
Source: RNAcentral
GGCCUGAUGGUCUAGUAGUAUGAUUCCUUGUUAGGGCUAGAAAGCAAUCUCGAGGAGGUCCCGGGUUCAAUUCCCGGUCAGGCCC